This 194-nucleotide ribosomal RNA is filed under the name uncultured bacterium. Its description in RNAcentral is "partial 16S ribosomal RNA". It matches the Rfam family "Bacterial small subunit ribosomal RNA", at positions 582 to 776 of the family's 1533-position model. The record is from RNAcentral.
GUCAGUUAGGGGUGAAAUCCCAGGGCUCAACCCUGGAACUGCCCUUAAUACUGACAGUCUUGAGUAUGGUAGAGGUGAGUGGAAUUCCGAGUGUAGAGGUGAAAUUCGUAGAUAUUCGGAGGAACACCAGUGGCGAAGGCGGCUCACUGGUCCAUUACUGACGCUGAGGUGCGAAAGCGUGGGGAGCAAACAGG